This 271-nucleotide ribosomal RNA is filed under the name uncultured bacterium. RNAcentral's name for it is "partial 16S ribosomal RNA". It matches the Rfam family "Bacterial small subunit ribosomal RNA", at positions 524 to 794 of the family's 1533-position model. The record is from RNAcentral.
UACGUAGGUGGCGAGCGUUGUCCGGAAUUACUGGGUGUAAAGGGCGUGUAGGCGGGGAUGUAAGUCAGAUGUGAAACUCCGAAGCUUAACUUCGGAACUGCAUCUGAAACUGUGUCUCUUGAGUGCUGGAGAGGAAAGCGGAAUUCCGAGUGUAGAGGUGAAAUUCGUAGAUAUUCGGAAGAACACCAGUGGCGAAGGCGGCUCGCUGGACAAGUAUUGACGCUGAGGUGCGAAAGCGUGGGGAGCAAACAGGAUUAGAUACCCGGGUAGU